RNAcentral lists this ribosomal RNA (470 nucleotides) under uncultured Thermomonas sp. Its description in RNAcentral is "bacterial SSU rRNA". It matches the Rfam family "Bacterial small subunit ribosomal RNA", at positions 336 to 797 of the family's 1533-position model. Lineage: Bacteria; Pseudomonadati; Pseudomonadota; Gammaproteobacteria; Lysobacterales; Lysobacteraceae. The record is from RNAcentral.
UUCCUACGGGUGGCUGCAGUAGGGAAUAUUGGACAAUGGGCGCAAGCCUGAUCCAGCCAUGCCGCGUGAGUGAAGAAGGCCCUCGGGUUGUAAAGCUCUUUUGUCCGGAAAGAAAAGCAUCGGGUUAAUACCCCGGUGUUCUGACGGUACCGGAAGAAUAAGCACCGGCUAACUUCGUGCCAGCAGCCGCGGUAAUACGAAGGGUGCAAGCGUUACUCGGAAUUACUGGGCGUAAAGCGUGCGUAGGUGGUUCGUUAAGUCUGAAGUGAAAGCCCUGGGCUCAACCUGGGAAUGGCAUUGGAAACUGGCGGACUGGAGUGCGGUAGAGGGUAGCGGAAUUCCCGGUGUAGCAGUGAAAUGCGUAGAGAUCGGGAGGAACAUCCGUGGCGAAGGCGGCUACCUGGACCAGCACUGACACUGAGGCACGAAAGCGUGGGGAGCAAACAGGAUUAGAUACCCUAGUAGUCGCA